RNAcentral lists this ribosomal RNA (2529 nucleotides) under human gut metagenome. RNAcentral's name for it is "bacterial LSU rRNA". It matches the Rfam family "Bacterial large subunit ribosomal RNA", at positions 1 to 2555 of the family's 2925-position model. The record is from RNAcentral.
UUAAGCGACUAAGCGUACACGGUGGAUGCCCUGGCAGUCAGAGGCGAUGAAGGACGUGCUAAUCUGCGAUAAGCGUCGGUAAGGUGAUAUGAACCGUUAUAACCGGCGAUUUCCGAAUGGGGAAACCCAGUGUGUUUCGACACACUAUCAUUAACUGAAUCCAUAGGUUAAUGAGGCGAACCGGGGGAACUGAAACAUCUAAGUACCCCGAGGAAAAGAAAUCAACCGAGAUUCCCCCAGUAGCGGCGAGCGAACGGGGAGCAGCCCAGAGUCUGAAUCAGUGUGUGUGUUAGUGGAAGCGUCUGGAAAGGCGCGCGAUACAGGGUGACAGCCCCGUACACAAAAAUGCACAUGCUGUGAGCUCGAUGAGUAGGGCGGGACACGUGGUAUCCUGUCUGAAUAUGGGGGGACCAUCCUCCAAGGCUAAAUACUCCUGACUGACCGAUAGUGAACCAGUACCGUGAGGGAAAGGCGAAAAGAACCCCGGCGAGGGGAGUGAAAAAGAACCUGAAACCGUGUACGUACAAGCAGUGGGAGCCUCUUUUAUGGGGUGACUGCGUACCUUUUGUAUAAUGGGUCAGCGACUUAUAUUCUGUAGCAAGGUUAACCGAAUAGGGGAGCCGAAGGGAAACCGAGUCUUAACUGGGCGUUAAGUUGCAGGGUAUAGACCCGAAACCCGGUGAUCUAGCCAUGGGCAGGUUGAAGGUUGGGUAACACUAACUGGAGGACCGAACCGACUAAUGUUGAAAAAUUAGCGGAUGACUUGUGGCUGGGGGUGAAAGGCCAAUCAAACCGGGAGAUAGCUGGUUCUCCCCGAAAGCUAUUUAGGUAGCGCCUCGUGAAUUCAUCUCCGGGGGUAGAGCACUGUUUCGGCAAGGGGGUCAUCCCGACUUACCAACCCGAUGCAAACUGCGAAUACCGGAGAAUGUUAUCACGGGAGACACACGGCGGGUGCUAACGUCCGUCGUGAAGAGGGAAACAACCCAGACCGCCAGCUAAGGUCCCAAAGUCAUGGUUAAGUGGGAAACGAUGUGGGAAGGCCCAGACAGCCAGGAUGUUGGCUUAGAAGCAGCCAUCAUUUAAAGAAAGCGUAAUAGCUCACUGGUCGAGUCGGCCUGCGCGGAAGAUGUAACGGGGCUAAACCAUGCACCGAAGCUGCGGCAGCGACGCUUAUGCGUUGUUGGGUAGGGGAGCGUUCUGUAAGCCUGUGAAGGUGUGCUGUGAGGCAUGCUGGAGGUAUCAGAAGUGCGAAUGCUGACAUAAGUAACGAUAAAGCGGGUGAAAAGCCCGCUCGCCGGAAGACCAAGGGUUCCUGUCCAACGUUAAUCGGGGCAGGGUGAGUCGACCCCUAAGGCGAGGCCGAAAGGCGUAGUCGAUGGGAAACAGGUUAAUAUUCCUGUACUUGGUGUUACUGCGAAGGGGGGACGGAGAAGGCUAUGUUGGCCGGGCGACGGUUGUCCCGGUUUAAGCGUGUAGGCUGGUUUUCCAGGCAAAUCCGGAAAAUCAAGGCUGAGGCGUGAUGACGAGGCACUACGGUGCUGAAGCAACAAAUGCCCUGCUUCCAGGAAAAGCCUCUAAGCAUCAGGUAACAUCAAAUCGUACCCCAAACCGACACAGGUGGUCAGGUAGAGAAUACCAAGGCGCUUGAGAGAACUCGGGUGAAGGAACUAGGCAAAAUGGUGCCGUAACUUCGGGAGAAGGCACGCUGAUAUGUAGGUGAAGCGACUUGCUCGUGGAGCUGAAAUCAGUCGAAGAUACCAGCUGGCUGCAACUGUUUAUUAAAAACACAGCACUGUGCAAACACGAAAGUGGACGUAUACGGUGUGACGCCUGCCCGGUGCCGGAAGGUUAAUUGAUGGGGUUAGCGGCAACGCGAAGCUCUUGAUCGAAGCCCCGGUAAACGGCGGCCGUAACUAUAACGGUCCUAAGGUAGCGAAAUUCCUUGUCGGGUAAGUUCCGACCUGCACGAAUGGCGUAAUGAUGGCCAGGCUGUCUCCACCCGAGACUCAGUGAAAUUGAACUCGCUGUGAAGAUGCAGUGUACCCGCGGCAAGACGGAAAGACCCCGUGAACCUUUACUAUAGCUUGACACUGAACAUUGAGCCUUGAUGUGUAGGAUAGGUGGGAGGCUUUGAAGUGUGGACGCCAGUCUGCAUGGAGCCGACCUUGAAAUACCACCCUUUAAUGUUUGAUGUUCUAACGUUGGCCCGUAAUCCGGGUUGCGGACAGUGUCUGGUGGGUAGUUUGACUGGGGCGGUCUCCUCCUAAAGAGUAACGGAGGAGCACGAAGGUUGGCUAAUCCUGGUCGGACAUCAGGAGGUUAGUGCAAUGGCAUAAGCCAGCUUGACUGCGAGCGUGACGGCGCGAGCAGGUGCGAAAGCAGGUCAUAGUGAUCCGGUGGUUCUGAAUGGAAGGGCCAUCGCUCAACGGAUAAAAGGUACUCCGGGGAUAACAGGCUGAUACCGCCCAAGAGUUCAUAUCGACGGCGGUGUUUGGCACCUCGAUGUCGGCUCAUCACAUCCUGGGGCUG